This 254-nucleotide ribosomal RNA is filed under the name uncultured bacterium. RNAcentral describes it as "partial 16S ribosomal RNA". It matches the Rfam family "Bacterial small subunit ribosomal RNA", at positions 524 to 776 of the family's 1533-position model. The record is from RNAcentral.
GACGAACUGUGCAAACGUUAUUCGGGAUUAUUGGGCUUAAAGCGCGGGUAGGCGGCUUAGCAAGUCGCAGGUGAAAUCCCAUCGGCUCAACCGUGGAACUGCCUGCGAAACUGCUGGGCUUGAGGAAAGUAGGGGUCUGUGGAACCUAUGGUGGAGCGGUGAAAUGUGUUGAUAUCAUAGGGAACGCCGGUGGCGAAAGCGAUAGACUGGGUUUUUUCUGACGCUGAGACGCGAAAGCUAGGGGAGCAAACGGG